Molecule: ribosomal RNA, 486 nt
Filed under: uncultured bacterium
Lineage: Bacteria
Description: partial 16S ribosomal RNA
Rfam family: Bacterial small subunit ribosomal RNA
Source: RNAcentral
AUUGAACGCUGGCGGCAUGCCUUACACAUGCAAGUCGAACGGCAGCACGGGUGCUUGCACCUGGUGGCGAGUGGCGAACGGGUGAGUAAUACAUCGGAACAUGUCCUGUAGUGGGGGAUAGCCCGGCGAAAGCCGGAUUAAUACCGCAUACGAUCCACGGAUUAAAGCGGGGGACCUUCGUGCCUCGCUCUGUAGGGUUGUCCCAUGGCUGAUUCGCUAUUUGGUGGGGUAAAGGCCUACCAGGGCGGCGAUCAGUAGCUCGUCUGAGAGGAGGACGAGCGCCAGUGGGGGUGAGAGGCGGCACAGAGUCCUAGGGGAGGCAGAAGUGGGGAAUGGUGGAAGAUGGGGGAAAGACUGAUCCAGGAAUGCAGGGCGGGUGAAGAAGGGCUGCGGGUUGUAAAGCACUUUUGUGGGGGAAGAAAGCCUUGGAUCGAGUACAGGCGGGGGGUGACGGUAGCAGAAGAAGAAGCACCGGCUAACUACGUG